RNAcentral lists this unclassified non-coding RNA (316 nucleotides) under Hevea brasiliensis (rubber tree). Lineage: Eukaryota; Viridiplantae; Streptophyta; Magnoliopsida; Malpighiales; Euphorbiaceae. The record is from RNAcentral.
AGCCGUGUCCCAGAUCUGUAGUUUUAUUGGUUUGUUGUCUAUUGUGAUCAUUCUAGCCCCAAAUUCAACCCCAAUGGUCAAGUCAUGGACCGGUUGAAAUCGUUUGUCCGUAAAUUGCAGGAGAAGACAGGAUUUUCCGACUCCUGUAUCUCCGAUGAUUAUAUACUUGAAAAGAUAAGCAUACGACAUGAUUGAUAUGAGAUCUGACGAGCUGGAGAAUUUGAUUGCUUGAAUUUAUACGAUUUUUUCUGGUAAUUUGAUAGAAUGUUUGAGAAGAAGAUGAAGAGGGGAGGAUCGGGAUUAGGGUCUGUUAGCA